CCUACGGGAGGCAGCAGUGGGGGAUAUUGCACAAUGGGGGAAACCCUGAUGCAGCGACUCCGCGUGUGGGAAGACGGUCCUCUGGAUUGUCAACCACUGUCCCCAGGGACGAAGAUGACUGUACCUGGGGAGGAAGCUCCGGCAAACUACGUUCCAGCAGCCGCGGUAAUCCGUAGGGAGCGAGCGGUGUCCGGAAUUACUGUGUGUAAAGGGAGCGUAGGCGGGGAUGCAAGUUGGGUGGCAAAACUACCGGCUCAACUGGGAGUCGCACUCAAACCUGCAGCUCUUGAGUGAAGUAGAGGCAGGCGGAAUUCCUAGUGUAGCGGUGAAAUGCGUAGAUAUUAGGAGGAACACCAGUGGCGAAGGCGGCCUGCUGGGCUUUUACUGACGCUGAGGCUCGAAAGUGUGGGGAGCAAACAGGAGUAGAUACCCGUGUAGUC
RNAcentral lists this ribosomal RNA (440 nucleotides) under uncultured bacterium. RNAcentral's name for it is "partial 16S ribosomal RNA". It matches the Rfam family "Bacterial small subunit ribosomal RNA", at positions 338 to 795 of the family's 1533-position model. The record is from RNAcentral.